RNAcentral lists this long non-coding RNA (1689 nucleotides) under Equus caballus (horse). RNAcentral's name for it is "lncRNA (ENSECAG00000044299.1)". The record is from RNAcentral. Lineage: Eukaryota; Metazoa; Chordata; Mammalia; Perissodactyla; Equidae.
CUCACCUCUGGCACACCAGCCUCUGGCUAAAGGCCUCUCUUGGAGGCUGUCCUGCAGCUGCCUGAGCCCCUUGUCUCAGGGACAACCCCAAGCAACUGGCUGCUGACCAGACAUCGUUGGCCCACGGCACUUUUGCUUUUGGUGGUGGAAGAAGCAAGGUUGGGGAUUUGGGAAGAUAUCUCUUGGGUUUUGUUCAAGGUUACUGGAGUUUGUUCAUGGAGGACCCCAAUUUUUUGAAAAGACUAGAGAUUUUUCACUCACAGAGGAACUCUUGGCCCCGUUUGUCUUGAUAUGUGUGCGUGUGAAUGGUGCCACAAUGGGAACUCAGAUUCAGUUCCCCGUGGCAGCCGUCUAGGGUGUAUAUUGCAAAAUUGAAAUGUUUUCAAUUAUGAACCUAUGAAGAGGAAAAAAAAGCCAGAAGGCAGAAAUUACAAUGAGAAAUCUGACCAACCGUCAUUUGGGGCAACAGUUAAGCCACUAAGACUGGCCCAGAACUAACAUCUGCUGCCAAUUCUCGUCCUUUUGCUGAGGAAGACUGGCCCUGAGCUAACAUCUGUGCCCAUCUUCGUCUACUUUUUAUAUGUGGGACUCCUACCAUAGCAUGGCUUGACAAGCAGUGCCAUGUCCUCACCCGGGAUCUGAACCGGCAAACUUCGGGCCGCCAAAGGGGAACGUGCGAACUUAACUGCUGCGCCACCGGGCCGGCCCCUGGAUGGUAUAAUUUCUGAAGGAGUUCUAUUUAAUUGGCUUGAAGUCAGCACUUAUAUAAAUUUUUUCUAAAUGUUAUAGAAACUAGCCCAGAGGUCUUUCAAGUUAACAUGAUAUAAAAUGAUCUUUGGCAAAUAAGAGCUUGUUUAAGUUUGUUGGUUUAAUUGAAAUAAAUGUGAUUUCAGCGUUAUCAACAUUGGAUAUGAUACAAACAUGUUAUCUCUAUUACAAAAUUUGUCAGCAAAAAAUAAUAACUUAGUAUAAUAGUUAAUUUUGUUUGAUGUCUCAUGAGGUUUUUGUAGGCAACCUAAAUAUAAUUGUUGAGAACAGGUAAACUAAAUAGGUGCAAAAAGGAUGAAAGUUUUUUGGGGAACUUUUUAACAAUAAUUAUGUGUUAUGAUGUACGUAUUUAAAACAUCUUAAAAUGAUGGCUAACUGCUCUAAUGUCACAUGAAGUUUCUGUGAGUAAUCUAAACCUAACUGUUGGGAAUAAAUGACUUAGAUAGAUGAAAAUGGGUAAAAGUUUUUGAGUGCAAUAAUUGUGUUUUAUGGUCUGUGUACUUGAAAAACAGCUUCCAAAAUCUUUUUGGCAACUUGAAACUUCAGAGUUUUGCUAAAUUAAAUAAUAGAAAUUUAUUGAGUAUCUAGGUCAUUUCCAUGUAAUAAAAAAUAUUAGAAAUUGAUUACUAAGCAUAGAUUUGUCUGCCUUUGGUUUCUUAUCUCAGAGAAACUGAAAGAUGCUUAGAUUUACUGAUAAACAUGUUUCAUGUAUGAUGGGGAAUUUUCUAUGAGAAAGUACAUAUUUCCGUAUACAAGGAAAGUAAAAUGUAUAUUUUCAUGAAAGAAGGUAAAAAGAAUAGAGGUAUUUUUCUUAGUUUUCUUAAGAAAGAUAAAUUUGCCCUAAAGUACUAGAAAAGAAAAAAAGGAAAGAAAACAGGGAACAAAUGCUGAAUGUAAAAAGCAAGUGACAGAAGAUUUGUG